Molecule: ribosomal RNA, 1477 nt
Filed under: uncultured Bordetella sp.
Lineage: Bacteria; Pseudomonadati; Pseudomonadota; Betaproteobacteria; Burkholderiales; Alcaligenaceae
Description: partial 16S-23S ribosomal RNA intergenic spacer
Rfam family: Bacterial small subunit ribosomal RNA
Source: RNAcentral
AGUUCGAUUAUGGCUCAGAUUGAACGCUGGCGGGAUGCUUUACACAUGCAAGUCAACAGCGGCACGGACUUCGGUCUGGUGGCGAGUGGCGAACGGGUGAGUAAUGUAUCGGAAUGUGCCCUAGUAGCGGGGGAUAACUACGCGGCGUAGCUAAUACCACAUACGCCCUUCGGGGGAAAACGGGGGACCUUCGGGCCUCGCACUAUUGGAAGCGACCGAUAUCGGAUUAGCUAGUUGGUGGGGUAACGGCUCACCAGGGCGACGAUCCGUAGCUGGUUUGAGAGGACGACCAGCCACACUGGGUUUGAGACACGGCCCAGACUCCUACGGGAGGCAGCAGUGGGGAAUUUUGGACAAUGGGGAAACCCUGAUCCAGCCAUCCCGCGUGUGCGAUGAAGGCCUUCGGGUUGUAAAGCACUUUUGGCAGGAAGAAACGGCACAAAAAUACCCCGUGCAACUGACGGUACCUGCAGAAUAAGCACCGGCUAACUACGUGCCAGCAGCCGCGGUAAUACGUAAGUGCAAGCGUUAAUCGGAAUUACUGGGCGUAAAGCGUGCGCAGGCGGUUCGGAAAAGAAAGAUGUGAAAUCCCAGAGCUUAACUUUGGAACUGCAUUUUUAACUACCGAGCUAGAGUGUGUCAGAGGUGGAAUUCCCGCGUGUAGCAGUGAAAUGCGUAGAUAUGCGGAGGAACACCGAUAAGCGAAGGCAGCCUCCUGGGAUAACACUGACGCUCAUGCACGAAAGCGUGGGGGAGCAAACAGGAUUAGAUACCCUGGUAGUCCACGCCCUAAACGAUGUCAACUAGCUGUUGGGGCCUUCGGGCCUUGGUAGCGGCUAACGCGUGAAGUUGACCGCCUGCAAAGUACGGUCGCAAGAUUAAAACUCAAGGAAUUGACGGGGACCCGCACAAGCGGUGGAUGAUGUGCUUAAUUCGAUGCAACGCGAAAAACCUUACCUACCCUUGACAUGUCUGGAAUCCCGAAGAGAUUUGCGGGAGUGCUCGCAAGAGAACCGGAACACAGGUGCUGCAUGGCUGUCGUCAGCUCGUGUCGUGAGAUGUUGGGUUAAGUCCCGCAACGAGCGCAACCCUUGUCAUUAGUUGCUACGAAGGAGGGCACUCUAAUGAGACUGCCGGUGACAAACCGGAGGAAGGUGGGGAUGACGUCAAGUCCUCAUGGCCCAUAUGGGUAGGGCUUCACACGUCAUACAAUGGUCGGGACAGAGGGUCGCCAACCCGCGAGGGGAGCCAAUCAGAAACCCGAUCGUAGUCCGAGAUCGCAGUCUGCAACUCGACUGCGUGAAGUCAGAAUCGCUAGUAAUCGCGGAUCAGCAUGUCGCGGUGAAUACGUUCCCGGGUCUUGUACACACCGCCCGUCACACCAUGGGAGUAGGUUUUACCAGAAGUAGUUAGCCUAACCGUAAGGAGGGCAAUUACCGGUAGGAUUCAUGACUGGGGUGAAGUCGUAACAAGGUAG